GCUCUGGUAGCUCAGCUGGAUAGAGCACUUGACUACGAAUCAAGGGGUCGGGGGUUCGAAUCCUCCCCAGAGCGCCA
Molecule: transfer RNA, 77 nt
Filed under: Maritimibacter harenae
Lineage: Bacteria; Pseudomonadati; Pseudomonadota; Alphaproteobacteria; Rhodobacterales; Roseobacteraceae
Description: Maritimibacter sp. DP07 tRNA-Arg
Rfam family: tRNA
About the family: Transfer RNA (tRNA) molecules are approximately 80 nucleotides in length. Their secondary structure includes four short double-helical elements and three loops (D, anti-codon, and T loops). Further hydrogen bonds mediate the characteristic L-shaped molecular structure. tRNAs have two regions of fundamental functional importance: the anti-codon, which is responsible for specific mRNA codon recognition, and the 3' end, to which the tRNAs corresponding amino acid is attached (by aminoacyl-tRNA synthetases). tRNAs cope with the degeneracy of the genetic code in two manners: having more than one tRNA (with a specific anti-codon) for a particular amino acid; and 'wobble' base-pairing, i.e. permitting non-standard base-pairing at the 3rd anti-codon position.
Source: RNAcentral